UUGAACGCUGGCGGCAUGCUUUACACAUGCAAGUCGAACGGUAACAGGGAGCUUGCUCCGCUGACGAGUGGCGAACGGGUGAGUAAUGCAUUGGAACGUACCCAGUCGUGGGGGAUAACGUAGCGAAAGUUACGCUAAUACCGCAUACGUCCUGAGGGAGAAAGCGGGGGACCGUAAGGCCUCGCGCGAUUGGAGCGGCCGAUGUCGGAUUAGCUAGUUGGUGGGGUAAAGGCCUACCAAGGCGACGAUCCGUAGCGGGUCUGAGAGGAUGAUCCGCCACACUGGGACUGAGACACGGCCCAGACUCCUACGGGAGGCAGCAGUGGGGAAUUUUGGACAAUGGGGGCAACCCUGAUCCAGCCAUGCCGCGUGAGUGAAGAAGGCCUUCGGGUUGUAAAGCUCUUUCAGACGGAACGAAACGGUACGCUCUAACAUAGCGUGCUAAUGACGGUACCGGCAGAAGAAGCACCGGCUAACUACGU
Molecule: ribosomal RNA, 482 nt
Filed under: uncultured bacterium
Lineage: Bacteria
Description: bacterial SSU rRNA
Rfam family: Bacterial small subunit ribosomal RNA
Source: RNAcentral